RNAcentral lists this ribosomal RNA (494 nucleotides) under Pseudo-nitzschia pungens. Its description in RNAcentral is "eukaryotic LSU rRNA". It matches the Rfam family "Eukaryotic large subunit ribosomal RNA", at positions 1 to 504 of the family's 3401-position model. Lineage: Eukaryota; Bacillariophyta; Bacillariophyceae; Bacillariales; Bacillariaceae. The record is from RNAcentral.
CGGAUCUCAGAUCAAGCAAGAGGACCCGCCGAAUUUAAGCAUAUAAUUAAGCGGAGGAAAAGAAACUAACUAGGAUUCCCUCAGUAACGGCGAGUGAAGCGGGACUAGCUCAGGAUGUGAAUCUGCGCUUUUAUGGCGCCGAAUUGUGGUCUGUAGACUUUGACAUUAUUUGCCGGGCCAAGUUCCUUGGAAAAGGACAGCUGAGAGGGUGACACUCCCGUCCGCCUGGUAAAGUGAGUCAUUUGUCAACGAGUCGAGUUGUUUGGGAUUGCAGCUCUAAUUUGGUGGUAAAUUCCAUCUAAAGCUAAAUAUUGGUGGGAGACCGAUAGCGUACAAAGUCCCGUGAGGGAAAGAUGCAAAGAACUUUGAAAAGAGAGUUAAAGAGUACCUGAAACUGCUGAAACGGAAGCGAAGGAAACCAGUGUUUGUUUGUUCAUAUUUCCCUGGCCACUUGUGGCCUGGGCGCUGUGGACUUGCGUGAGUUUGGGUUGGUU